Molecule: ribosomal RNA, 254 nt
Filed under: uncultured bacterium
Lineage: Bacteria
Description: partial 16S ribosomal RNA
Rfam family: Bacterial small subunit ribosomal RNA
Source: RNAcentral
UACGGGGGGAGCAAGCGUUGUUCGGAUUUACUGGGCGUAAAGGGCGCGUAGGCGGCCACCGCAAGUCAGUUGUGAAAUCUCUGGGCUUAACCCAGAAAGGUCAACUGAUACUGCGGGGCUAGAGUGCAGAAGGGGCAACUGGAAUUCUCGGUGUAGCGGUGAAACGCGUAGAUAUCGAGAGGAACACCUGCGGCGAAGGCGGGUUGCUGGGCUGACACUGACGCUGAUGCGCGAAAGCUAGGGGAGCGAACGGG